CCCUUAGAUGUCCUGGGCUGCACGCGCGCUACACUGAUGUGUCCAGUAAGCACCUAACCUCUUCCGAAAGGAACGGGUAACCUUUGCAAAGCACAUCGUGAUGGGGAUAGAUUAUUGCAAUUAUUAGUCUUGAACGAGGAAUUCCUAGUAAGCACAAGUCAUCAGCUUGUGUUGAUUACGUCCCUGCCCUUUGUACACACCGCCCGUCGCUCCUACCGAUUGGGUGUGCUGGUGAAAUGUUCGGAUCGGCCGUUUGUCGCGGUUUCCGCGUCAUGUGGCUGGGAAGUUCAUUAAACCCUCCCACCUAGAGGAAGGAGAAGUCGUAACA
This 328-nucleotide ribosomal RNA is filed under the name uncultured eukaryote. Its description in RNAcentral is "partial 18S ribosomal RNA". It matches the Rfam family "Eukaryotic small subunit ribosomal RNA", at positions 1470 to 1796 of the family's 1831-position model. The record is from RNAcentral.